GUUAAAGGGAAUGGGUCUCGGAAGCCGAGGGUCUGAAGUUCAAGACUCCUAGAAGGGGAGGGGAAUGAAAGCCACUCAGUGAAGAAGGUAAAACAAAUACAGUCUAUCUCUGACUUACAAUGGUUCGCCCUAAGAUUUUUGGACUUCAUGAUGGUGUGAAAGCAAUAUGAAUUCAGUAGAAACCGAACUUCAAAUUUUUGAAUUUUCCUCUGUUCCCAAGCUAGGGAUGUACUGUUGGAUACGCUCGGAUACACUCUUGUAUGCUGGACAGUGGCAGCAAGCAGCUCCCAGUCAGCCAUGCAAUCAGGAGGGUAAACAAUGGACACACUUCCAAUUAUUCCGGACCCAGACGACCAUUCCUCUUUCACCUUCAGUACAGUAUUUGAUGAAUUGCAUGAGAUAUCGAACACUUCAUUAUAAAAUAGGCUUUGUGGGAGUUCCCGUCGUGGCGCAGUGGUUAAUGAAUCCGACUAGGAACCAUGAGGUUGCGGGUUUGGUCCCUGUCCUUGCUCAGUGGGUUGAGGAUCCGGCGUUGUCGUGAGCUGUGGUGUAGGUUGCAGACGCAGCUCGGAUCCUGCAUUGCUGUGGCUGUGGCAUAGGCCGGUGGCUGCAGCUCUGAUUCGACCCCUGGCCUGGGAACCUCCAUAUGCCGCUGGAUUGGCUCAAGAAAUAGCAAAAAGACAAAAAAAAAAAAAAAA
Molecule: long non-coding RNA, 698 nt
Filed under: Sus scrofa (pig)
Lineage: Eukaryota; Metazoa; Chordata; Mammalia; Artiodactyla; Suidae
Description: lncRNA (ENSSSCG00060050618.1)
Source: RNAcentral